This 501-nucleotide ribosomal RNA is filed under the name Stenocladius shirakii. RNAcentral describes it as "partial 16S rRNA". The record is from RNAcentral. Lineage: Eukaryota; Metazoa; Arthropoda; Insecta; Coleoptera; Lampyridae.
GUCUUUUUGGAUUAUAAUAUAAAGUUUGAUCUGCUCAAUGAUUGUUUAAAUUGCCGCGGUAUUUUAACUGUGCAAAGGUAGCAUAAUAAUUAGUUUUUUUAUUGGGAACUGGAAUGAAUGAUUUGACAAGAAACAUACUGUCUCUUAAUAAUUUUUAUUUAAUUUAACUUUUUAGUUAAAGGCUGAAAUUUAUCUUAAAGACGAGAAGACCCUAUAGAGUUUGAUUCUAUUUUAUAUUUUUUAUUUAGUAUUUAUUUUUAAUUUUAAAAUAAAAUUUUAUUGGGGUGAUUUAAAGAUUUAAUUAACUCUUUUUUAUUUAUCAUUUAUUUUUGAAUAUUUAAUCUUUAUUUUUGAAUUUAAAAUUAAAUUACCUUAGGGAUAACAGCGUUAUUUUUCUUUAAAGUUCUUAUUAAAAGAAAAGAUUGCGACCUCGAUGUUGGAUUAAAAUUUAAUUUUGGUGAAGUAGCUUUAGUUUUUAGUCUGUUCGACUAUUAAAAUUUU